This 1179-nucleotide long non-coding RNA is filed under the name Olea europaea subsp. europaea. The record is from RNAcentral. Lineage: Eukaryota; Viridiplantae; Streptophyta; Magnoliopsida; Lamiales; Oleaceae.
UUCCAGUCUAUAGUCUCACGCAUAAAUUAUCUCUCUAACUUAAGCAUCAGAAGGACAAUAAAGACAUACAUCGACGCCUUUGUUCCAAGUAUCGAAAGAUCUCAUUCCUGUUUAUCUCAGUCGUCAAGCUUUGAAAUCCACAUGUACGAUUUUUUGUAGCAUCAUUAGCACAGUAUAUGGAAGGCGCUACCAAAAGCCAUGGUUAAUACAUGUUCAGGUCUUCUUCAACAAACUCAACUGUUCCAAACCUCCUCCUCCUAAAGAUCCCUUGUUCCUCAAGAAAAAUUAUCAAAAAUACCAGUGCUCCAACUAGCAGUUGUAACCGUUGGAGCCUUUGAAGAGCUUCGCCAACAAGUUGCCAUGCUAACUCAAUUGUUGAGUCAAUAAAAUUUACAUCCAUCACCUACACGGUUAUCCCAAGCGAGUUUGAUGGCCGAUGCUCGAGCUCGAGUUCCAUGCCCUGUUCCUGAGGUUUGUGGAGCGGGGACCUCUAGUGUUCAUAUGGCCUCAACCUCGAGAUUAGUGACAAUAGAGUUUGGUGAACUUGCCAGGAUCAUUGAAGAUAGGAUUAUGGCAGGCCAUUCCAUAACAAUAAGGGGGUAACAGCCCCUAACGCUCUAUUCAAACUCAACGUAUUAUCAUAUCCUUUACUAGAUGGAUUCUAGUAUCAAUCAUAUAAAAGAAUAUGAUGGGAUUAUCAACCCGAUCAACCACUUUAAUAUGUAUAUCGAUGUCAUGAAUUUGCAAGUUGUACCAGACCAGGUGAUGUGCAAGGCUUUUCCACAAACUUUGACUAAUGCUGCCAAUGAUUGGUUCUCAACCUUGGAACCCAAUUCUAUGUCCUCAUUGUCAGAUUUGGCCGACAAACUCUUUGCUUUCUUCGUAAAUAGUAAGCGCAUCAGGAAAACAGUAGUUUCCUUUAUGCAGCGGACAAAAUGAAACCCGAUGUGAUUUUAUGACAAGGUUUAAUAAAGAAAUGCUCCAAAUACUCGACCUACAUAUUACAUCAGCUGUCUUUGCCCUCACAUAUGUCAUAAGGUAUGAUGUAUGUUAGCUAAAAGUACAAACCGCGAGUACACAAGUUGUUUACAAGUAAUACAAUGGACUUUUUUUAGUCCGAGUCAAUCCCUUGAAGAGCGUUUCUUCCAAUUAUACGAGAGUUUAUUCAAAUUAGCGAUA